CUACCAUGGCAAUCACGGGUAACGGAGAAUUAGGGUUCGAUUCCGGAGAGGGAGCCUGAGAAACGGCUACCACAUCUACGGAAGGCAGCAGGCGCGAAAAUUGCCCAAUCCUGAUUCAGGGAGGCAGUGACAAGAAAUAACAACUCUUGGUUUACCAAGAAGUGUAAUGAGGAUAAUUUACAAACCUUACCGAAAGCAAUUGGAGGGCAAGUCUGGUGCCAGCAGCCGCGGUAAUUCCAGCUCCAAUAGCGUAUAUUAAAAUUGUUGCAGUUAAAAAGCUCGUAGUUGAAGUUCUGGUUGUAUGGGCCUCAGCACUUGAUGCGACGGAACCAGCAAUCAUCUGCUUGCAAGCAUAUGUCCGGCCUUAAACAGCUGGCUAUGUAAGUAAGCAUUUUACCUUGAGAAAAACAGAGUGUUCCAGGCAGGUUUGUCCGGAAUGCAUUAGCAUGGAAUAAUAGAAUAUGACUGAAGUCUAUUUAUUGGUUUAAGGCUUUAGUAAUGAUUAAUAGGAACAAUCGGGGGCAUUAGUACUUGUCAGUCAGAGGUGAAAUUCUAGGAUUUGACAAAGACUAACAAAUGCGAAAGCAUUUGCCAAGGAUGUUUUCAUUAAUCAA
Molecule: ribosomal RNA, 614 nt
Filed under: Ciliophora sp.
Lineage: Eukaryota; Ciliophora
Description: SSU rRNA
Rfam family: Eukaryotic small subunit ribosomal RNA
Source: RNAcentral